UGGGGAAUAUUGCACAAUGGGCGAAAGCCUGAUGCAGCAACGCCGCGUGAGUGAUGAAGGCCUUCGGGUUGUAAAGCUCUGUCUUUUGGGACGAUAAUGACGGUACCAAAGGAGGAAGCCACGGCUAACUACGUGCCAGCAGCCGCGGUAAUACGUAGGUGGCAAGCGUUGUCCGGAUUUUACUGGGCGUAAAGGAUGCGUAGGCGGAUUUUUAAGUGAGAUGUGAAAUACCCGGGCUUAACUUGGGUGCUGCAUUUCAAACUGGGAAUCUAGAGUGCGGGAGAGGAGAAUGGAAUUCCUAGUGUAGCGGUGAAAGUGCGUAGAGAUUAGGAAGAACACCAGUGGCGAAGGCGAUUCUCUGGACCGUAACUGACGCUGAGGCAUGAAAGCGUGGGUAGCAAACAGGAUUAGAUACCCUGGUAGUCCACGCCGUAAACGAUGAGUACUAGGUGUAGGAGGUAUCGACCCCUUCUGUGCCGCAGUUAACACAAUAAGUACUCCGCCUGGGAAGUACGAUCGCAAGAUUAAAA
Molecule: ribosomal RNA, 530 nt
Filed under: uncultured bacterium
Lineage: Bacteria
Description: partial 16S ribosomal RNA
Rfam family: Bacterial small subunit ribosomal RNA
Source: RNAcentral